Molecule: ribosomal RNA, 402 nt
Filed under: uncultured bacterium
Lineage: Bacteria
Description: bacterial SSU rRNA
Rfam family: Bacterial small subunit ribosomal RNA
Source: RNAcentral
AUUGAACGCUGGCGGCAUGCUUUACACAUGCAAGUCGAACGGCAGCACGGGUGCUUGCGCCUGGUGGCGAGUGGCGAACGGGUGAGUAAUGCAUCGGAACGUGCCCAUGAGUGGGGGAUAGCCCGGCGAAAGCCGGAUUAAUACCGCAUACGCCCUUAGGGGGAAAGCGGGGGAUCUUCGGACCUCGCGCUAUUGGAGCGGCCGAUGUCGGAUUAGCUAGUAGGUGAGGUAAAGGCUCACCUAGGCGACGAUCCGUAGCUGGUCUGAGAGGAUGAUCAGCCACACUGGGACUGAGACACGGCCCAGACUCCUACGGGAGGCAGCAGUGGGGAAUUUUGGACAAUGGGCGCAAGGCCUGAUCCAGCCAUGCCGCGUGAGUGAAGAAGGCCUCGGUUGUAAAGG